RNAcentral lists this ribosomal RNA (549 nucleotides) under uncultured bacterium. RNAcentral's name for it is "bacterial SSU rRNA". It matches the Rfam family "Bacterial small subunit ribosomal RNA", at positions 356 to 896 of the family's 1533-position model. The record is from RNAcentral.
GGGGAAUCUUCCGCAAUGGACGAAAGUCUGACGGAGCAACGCCGCGUGAGUGAUGACGGCCUUCGGGUUGUAAAGCUCUGUUAAUCGGGACGAAUGGUUCUUGUGUGAAUAGUGCGAGGAUUUGACGGUACCGGAAUAGAAAGCCACGGCUAACUACGUGCCAGCAGCCGCGGUAAUACGUAGGUGGCAAGCGUUGUCCGGAAUUAUUGGGCGUAAAGCGCGCGCAGGCGGAUUGGUCAGUCUGUCUUAAAAGUUCGGGGCUUAACCCCGUGAUGGGAUGGAAACUGCCAAUCUAGAGUAUCGGAGAGGAAAGUGGAAUUCCUAGUGUAGCGGUGAAAUGCGUAGAUAUUAGGAAGAACACCAGUGGCGAAGGCGACUUUCUGGACGAAAACUGACGCUGAGGCGCGAAAGCCAGGGGAGCGAACGGGAUUAGAUACCCCGGUAGUCCUGGCCGUAAACGAUGGGUACUAGGUGUAGGAGGUAUCGACCCCUUCUGUGCCGGAGUUAACGCAAUAAGUACCCCGCCUGGGGAGUACGACCGCAAGGUUG